CCUACGGGUGGCAGCAGUGGGGAAUAUUGGACAAUGGGCGAAAGCCUGAUCCAGCCAUGCCGCGUGUGUGAAGAAGGCCUUCGGGUUGUAAAGCACUUUCAGUGGGGAAGAAAGCCUUGGGGCUAGUAAGCUCGAGGAAGGACAUCACCCUAAGAAGAAGCACCGGCUAACUCCGUGCCAGCAGCCGCGGUAAUACGGAGGGUGCGAGCGUUAUUCGGAAUUACUGGGCGUAAAGCGCGCGUAGGCGGUCUGAUAAGCCGGUUGUGAAAGCCCCGGGCUCAACCUGGGAACGGCAUCCGGAACUGUCAGGCUAGAGUGCAGGAGAGGAAAGUAGAAUUCCCGGUGUAGCGGUGAAAUGCGUAGAGAUCGGGAGGAAUACCAGUGGCGAAGGCGGCCUUCUGGACUGACACUGACGCUGAGGUGCGAAAGCGUGGGUAGCAAACAGGAUUAGAUACCCGUGUAGUC
RNAcentral lists this ribosomal RNA (465 nucleotides) under Vreelandella stevensii. Its description in RNAcentral is "partial 16S ribosomal RNA". It matches the Rfam family "Bacterial small subunit ribosomal RNA", at positions 338 to 795 of the family's 1533-position model. Lineage: Bacteria; Pseudomonadati; Pseudomonadota; Gammaproteobacteria; Oceanospirillales; Halomonadaceae. The record is from RNAcentral.